CUACCCUUGACAUGCCACUAACGAAGCAGAGAUGCAUCAGGUGCCCGAAAGGGAAAGUGGACACAGGUGCUGCAUGGCUGUCGUCAGCUCGCGUCGUGAGAUGUUGGGUUAAGUCCCGCAACGAGCGCAACCCUUGUCUUUAGUUGCUACGCAAGAGCACUCUAGAGAGACUGCCGGUGACAAACCGGAGGAAGGUGGGGAUGACGUCAAGUCCUCAUGGCCCUUAUGGGUAGGGCUUCACACGUCAUACAAUGGUGCGUACAGAGGGUUGCCAACCCGCGAGGGGGAGCUAAUCCCAGAAAACGCAUCGUAGUCCGGAUCGUAGUCUGCAACUCGACUACGUGAAGCUGGAAUCGCUAGUAAUCGCGGAUCAGCAUGCCGCGGUGAAUACGUUCC
RNAcentral lists this ribosomal RNA (396 nucleotides) under uncultured bacterium. Its description in RNAcentral is "bacterial SSU rRNA". It matches the Rfam family "Bacterial small subunit ribosomal RNA", at positions 975 to 1374 of the family's 1533-position model. The record is from RNAcentral.